This 197-nucleotide ribosomal RNA is filed under the name uncultured fungus. Its description in RNAcentral is "partial 18S ribosomal RNA". It matches the Rfam family "Eukaryotic small subunit ribosomal RNA", at positions 555 to 755 of the family's 1831-position model. Lineage: Eukaryota; Fungi. The record is from RNAcentral.
GCAAGUCUGGUGCCAGCAGCCGCGGUAAUUCCAGCUCCAAUAGCGUAUAUUAAAGUUGUUGAGGUUAAAAAGCUCGUAGUUGAACCUUGGGCCUAGCCGGCCGGUCCGCCUCACCGCGUGCACUGGCUUGGCUGGGCCUUUCCCUCUGGGGAACCUUAUGGUCUUUACUGAUCGUACUGGGGAACCAGGACUUUUAC